GACGAACGCUGGCGGCGUGCUUAACACAUGCAAGUCGAGCGGUAAGGCCCUUUCGGGGGUACACGAGCGGCGAACGGGUGAGUAACACGUGGGUGACCUGCCCUUAGCUCUGGGAUAAGCCUGGGAAACUGGGUCUAAUACCGGAUAUGACUCCAUGACGCAUGUUGUGGGGUGGAAAGCCUUGUGCGGCUAGGGAUGGGGCCCGNGGGCCCUAUCAGCUUGGUUGGUGGGGUGAGUGGCCACGAAGGCGACGACGGUAGCCGGCCUGAGAGGGCGACCGGCCACACUGGGACUGAGACACGGCCCAG
RNAcentral lists this ribosomal RNA (308 nucleotides) under uncultured bacterium. RNAcentral's name for it is "bacterial SSU rRNA". It matches the Rfam family "Bacterial small subunit ribosomal RNA", at positions 28 to 334 of the family's 1533-position model. The record is from RNAcentral.